GAUUCCAGCCAUACCAGCCUGAAUACGCCUGAUCUCGGAAGUUAAGCAGGAUUGGGCCUGGUGAGUACUUGGAUGGGAGGACUGCCUGGGAAUACCAGGUGCUGCAAACU
Molecule: ribosomal RNA, 110 nt
Filed under: Oncorhynchus tshawytscha (Chinook salmon)
Lineage: Eukaryota; Metazoa; Chordata; Actinopteri; Salmoniformes; Salmonidae
Source: RNAcentral